Molecule: long non-coding RNA, 1628 nt
Filed under: Homo sapiens (human)
Lineage: Eukaryota; Metazoa; Chordata; Mammalia; Primates; Hominidae
Description: non-protein coding lnc-ANKRD60-1:3
Source: RNAcentral
GAGCCUGCCCGCUGGCUGUGGGGACCUGACCUUUUCUGCACUGAGGGGAAGGAAUGGGGUAAUUAGCUUAUAUAAUCCCCGGCCUGCCUGCUGUUUGCUGUGGAUGUGGACAAACUCCAUGAAAAUGUGGACUUCUGGGCUGCUGCUGUGGGAUCCCUUCAGAGGGCUCGAGAUGGUUCAUUUUGACCGAGGCCCGUCUGGUGGUUCGUUGCUGUGAUGUAUUUCGGCAUCAUCGACGCAGGUUCACCAGCCUCAUCUCGACCUUGGAAAUGUUGCGGUAUUUUACAGUGUGUGGUGACAUUUAUGGGCCCAUUUGGACACCCACAAAGAGGUUGAUUUCCAUAGAUUAAAUGUCAAGUUUGAAGCCAUCCAGGGUAAUUGAAUCCUUGAAUGUUGUCCACUUCGAUUCUCAGCUGGGGCCGUUGACUGGACAUUUGUGCUCUGUUACAAACUCUUGAGUGCAGCCCAAAUUGCUUAAUGCCAAAAGGUCACUCUGUGAGUCCAGGGGGAGGGUGUCGGUAGGGAGGACCAUGGCACUGGAGUUUGAUACCUGCAGAAAUGUUGCCUUGUUUUUAUUUCUUUAAAUGAAAGCACAUAUGUGGUUAGUUGGUGAAUACAUUACCGGGGACAGAAGAAAAAAAACCCCACCAACUAAGACUUCCUAGAUGUCAGUUAGUUUAAAAUAUCUAACCAUCUAUGUUUUGUCAAGAGCAAAAGGCUAAAAAGAACUUCACUGUAAUGUUUUAAGUAGGAAUAGUUUUAAACGGCAUUAAACACAUAUACAUAAACUUGGCAUGAGCGUCAUUUAAAUUGAAGGGUAGCAAAAAAGCAUCAAAUAAUUUCUGAGAUAUUGAAACGUAUUCACCUGCUGAUUGUCCAGAGAACAUGUGUGUCUUCAGACUUUGGAUCUGAGUGUCUUGAAUUUUUGUCCUCACAAGGAACUGGAGUUAAAUGGAUCCAAUACGGGUACACCCACACCCAUUUCCUCCACUGGUACGCUGUGGCCAGGAGGCGCGGGCCAGCCUCAGAGGCCUUCCUCACUGGGAUUUCUGGCUUUCUGCAGGUUCAGCUGUCCACACGGUGGCAUGGCUUUCUCAGCUCCACUCUGAUCAUUUCCACCAGAAAGAUCUGCUGACUAGUCUCCCUAAAAGUCAGGGCUGUUGGUCAACAUACACAGAGUCCAGAAGUCUGAAGUCAAGGCAUCGGCAGGGCCAUGCUCCCUCUGAAAUCUAUGGGGUAGAAUCCUUCCUCGCCUCUUCCUAGUUUCUCGUGGUUUGCCUGCAAAUGUUGGCAUUCUGUGGCUGGUAGAUGCAUCCCUCCCAUUUCUGCCUCUGGUGUGGCAUGGUGCCCUCUCCUGCAUGUCUGUGUCUCCACAUGACCGUGUCCCCGCUGCGUGUCACUCUCUCCUCUUCUCAUGAGGACACCGAUCACACUGGAUAAAGAGUCAACCCUUCUUCUAUAGGACCUCAUCUUCAUCUAACUAAUCACAGCUGCAAUGACCUUAUUUCCAGUUCAUUUGCUGACACCUCAUCCCCAGUGUGAUUGCACUUGGAGGUACAGCCUUGGGAAGUGAGUACCAGAGAGCUGCCUUGCCCCUUCUACCGUGCGUGCACACAGAGAGAAGAUGG